AGGGAAUCUUCCACAAUGGACGCAAGUCUGAUGGAGCAACGCCGCGUGAGUGAAGAAGGUUUUCGGAUCGUAAAGCUCUGUUGUUGGUGAAGAAGGAUAGUGGUAGCAACUGGCCAUUAUUUGACGGUAAUCAACCAGAAAGUCACGGCUAACUACGUGCCAGCAGCCGCGGUAAUACGUAGGUGGCAAGCGUUGUCCGGAUUUAUUGGGCGUAAAGCGAGCGCAGGCGGAAAGAUAAGUCUGAAGUGAAAGCCCCCGGCUUAACCGGGGAACUGCUUCGGAAACUGUCCUUCUUGAGUGCAGAAGAGGAGAGUGGAACUCCAUGUGUAGCGGUGGAAUUCGUAGAUAUAUGGAAGAACAUCAGUGGCGAAGGCGACCACCUGGACUGAUACUGACACUGAGGUGCGAAAGCGUGGGGAGCAAACA
This 426-nucleotide ribosomal RNA is filed under the name uncultured Lactobacillales bacterium. Its description in RNAcentral is "bacterial SSU rRNA". It matches the Rfam family "Bacterial small subunit ribosomal RNA", at positions 356 to 774 of the family's 1533-position model. Lineage: Bacteria; Bacillati; Bacillota; Bacilli; Lactobacillales. The record is from RNAcentral.